Long non-coding RNA from Glossina fuscipes, 7718 nucleotides. RefSeq lists it as uncharacterized. The record is from RefSeq and is a predicted model, not a curated record. Lineage: Eukaryota; Metazoa; Arthropoda; Insecta; Diptera; Glossinidae. The transcript has 2 exons.
UUUUGUUGUUAGUUUUAUUAUUUGGAUUCAUUUAAGUGCUGUUGUGUUUCAUGGAUGGGGCUUUUUUUGCUGUAUGCUCGUUAUAUACACAGUACACACACAUACACUUGCACACGUGUGUGGAAUGUUGUCAGUUGGGAUUUUUUUCUGUUUUUCUUUUUUUUACUGUUUUGUGUUUUUGUUCACAUAUCUCUUAGGUCGCAUAAAGUGAUUUUUGUUUUCGAACCAUCAUCCAUCCAACGACUAACGUGUAGAUAUGAUGGUGGGAUCAUACUGCGUUGUUGUGUUGAUAUAUAAAAUAUAGAGAAUAUUUUUGUUGUUGGUUUUUUUUUUUCUGUAUUUGUUUAUUUCAAUGGGAAAAACUAACAUUUAUAUGUUUGAAUGUAUGGUUGGUCGGUCGGGCGUUCGUUUGUGUUGUUAUUGUUGUCGUUGUUGUCGUUGAUGUCGUUGUUUGGUGUAUAUCUCUUUAUAUAUCUGACUGACUUGAGUAAGUGUUGAGGGUGAUGGUGGUGGACGAUGAUAAUGAUGAUGAAGUAGACAGUCAGCUCAACUACAAACGACUCUACAAUGCUUGAUAGCACAAGAUAGCUGGCAAAUAGACCGACUUGACCGCUCAUGCUAUGAAUAUAUUGCCUGAUUGUAUGUCGUUGAAUAUAAAGGCAACUUUGGCUCCGUGCAUGCUUUCUGACUGAACGACGAUUGUAAGCAUGACGCAGCAGUAAGUAAAUUUCGCCUUGAAACAUUUUUAAACUUAUUAUUUACGUUAAUUCAUUUCGAAUGGCUUGGUUAUUAUAUUGUAGAAGAAGAUGAAGUGUUUAUUGGAAAUCUUGCAGAGAAAAGUUUUGCACGAAAAAAGCAGAAGGAAGACUCUCUCGCACUUAAUCUCUUAAAUUUUGAACAAAAUUUGGCAGAAAUUUUUCAGUUUCGACUUGUUCGAUUUUAUAAAAAAGCUUUAAAUUGAAAUGAUCUCCGCCGAGGUAUACACAUGUGAAAUAAUUAACUGAAGCUACAUCUUUUGGUAACCAACGUUUGUUGCUUGAGUUUGCAGACAUUAUUUAAGGAAGCGUUGUGCGCCGGUUGUUUCGUAGUCAAUGGAUAAUGGAGAACUAAAAUCGUGAUGAGAUUUUUAUUGGUGUCACACAUUGCAUAUGUAUGCACAUAUGUAAGCACAUAUGACCGCUGUUUCUCAAAUAAUUUAAUACAACGACCUAUCUUUCCUACCUUAUGCUGGUUGAUAAAUCCUUUUGCGUGUUGCUAAUGUCGAUGUUCUUAUUAGUUGUUUAAGAUUUUUAUGUUUUCUUUCCAUUUGAUUUACUAUUAUUAUUAUUAUUAUUAUUAUUACUUUUUAUUUAUUUAUGUUUUUUUUCGCACAUUUAUGAGCGCCAUUGAGAAUUUAGUAAAAUGCGUUUUGAGAAAUUUAUUUUACAAGAGAGUGUUCAGCACUAGGUUGCUGACACUGUGCAAUUAAUUGAAUCUAAAAAUAGUUGCAGCUGUAAUAGUCCGGUUUACUCCUAACGCUAUUCUUUAUUACCUAAGAGAUGUCGUGAUGUCGUGAUAUUUUGUGUAUGAUUUUCAAGUAAGCUUUCAAAAUGUUCUCAACCGUAUACGCGCCCAUACUACACAUUAUGUGCUGUAAUCGCAUGAACUGUCGCAUACGUAUAGAUGCUUUAAUGAAUGAAUACUCCUUUCCUGUAGUCGCUAAAUUCGUUGCUAUCAUUGUAGUUCCUUCUGUCAUUACUUAAGGCUCUGAUGCGAAUAUUUUCUGUAAAUGUGUACAUUGCGCACAUUGUGCCUAUAAAUAGAUACAGGGUAUUCAUAAAGUCCGUGCGCAAAUUGGAAAAUAUCUUUGUAGCAUUCAAAAGCUUCAGUGGUUAAUGAAUGAAUAGUUAAGGAAUCUUCUAUAAACAAAAUUUCGAAAAUUUAGAAAGACUUCUCCUUUUCAGUGCAUAAGAUCCUUGGCUUCAUUUGAAGACGAACUAAUCAUGUAGAAAAAAGAGCAAUUUCUUUUAGAACCAAGGCCAAGAUCCAAGGCCAUGUUAAAGUUCUCUUACAGAACUUUUUUAAAAUGAUAUUUUUAAAGAAAAAGUAUCUUUAAUAGAAGCAAGCACUUGUUGUUUAGAGUGCGUCACCAAGAUUAGCGGUGUAACCCGAAAAGGUUUUAUGGCAAUUCUUCUGUGGAACUGCGUAAAAGCUACACUUCUCUUUGUCACCUUGAGAGAACAGGAGAUUGCGCACUUGAAACCAUUUAAAAUCCAAACAACCCUCUUGAAGUCCAAGACUUCUUACAAGCAAAAGGUAAUCUUAUAAUAGAACCGAAUUUCUACAGACACGUCAUAAAGGGACUUCGGUUUCAGAAUGGCGCAAAAUUCUGACUUUUUUUAAAGAAAAAGCAAUUUUUAGUUAGUUUUAUCGGCAUGGCCAUAUUGUUCUGAUAUUAAGUUUCGAACUUUGCGGAUAUAAUGGAUAAAAAACAAUUCAAUGUAAUUUGCAAAGCCAACGACAAACUAUCAUCAUUCAAGGUCUUUUUACAAUAAAUCAAGAAAGACGUUAUCAAAAUGAUCAAUCAUAGCAUUUAAGGAGAGCAAUGUUGAGCAAUUCAUAUUUAUUUUUUUUUUGCUUUUUUUCUCGCAGACCAAUUUCAAAAUUUCCGCUGGUUUGUAAAGAAAGUUUCUUUAAACACUUUCCGGCCAAUGCGAUGGAGGAAUUCCCGCAUCAUACUUUGCCUUAAAUUCGAACAAUCAUUAUUAGGGGCAAUAAAAAUUGUCACAGUCGGUCUUUUUAUAUGUGCUCCACUAUGAGCAAGCACUUCUUUCAAUUCUACUAUCUAACUUAUCUUCGCUUUAUUUCGUCAAAGAUUUGAAAGUUAAGAGAAAUAAUAUUUAAAGCCUCCUCUGACAUUAAUGUUAACUGAUUUGUCAAUAGUCUUGAAGGAUAGUAUUAAGCCGGGUGGAUGAAGGACAAGUAGAAAAUUGAAAAAAAAAAAAAUUUAGGUUUAUUUCUGUUGUUCGUCUUACAUCCAAUAUAAGUUGUUGAACUUAUAAUUGUUUCCAAUUGUAACGCAAGUGUGUGAACACCCUUUAUGUGGACGUGUAUUCUAAGCUCUAAAGUCAGGAAGGGAUUGAAGUGUUUCGUUUUGCUGUGUUUUGUGCAGAAAUUUUCAGAUUUUUCGCUAAACUGUUGCUGCUUUACGCUCUCGAUUAAUGCUUAUGAUGUUGACACCACAACACCACGCAUACAUCGUUAUGCAUGAUUUAUUAUUAUUGUUUUUGUUGUUGUUGUGAUAUUCUCUUGAGAUGAAUUGCAAUAAAUCAUACGUUAAAACAAUACAUUUACGACCGCUUACUAGCUAGCUACCACCUUGUGGUUAAUGUAAGCCACUUAUUGAGUUGUUAAGUAGCAGACCGUGUGUUGUAUGUCAUCGAAUGUUUACAGCAAUACUUCUUUUGUUUUUACAUUAUUGAUGAUUAGUUUGCAUUGGAUUUGAUUCAGACAAGGCAAAGUUAACUUUAUUGUUAUUAUUAUUAUUGCUGCAAUUAUUGCUAAUUAUAAGUGUUAAAGUGUAUAAACUGUAAAGCAAUAAAUAUCGAUCAGGUAAGCAACAACUAAUUCAAAGAGCAUAGAAAUUGAAAUUUAAAUGGGUCAGAUAAAGAUUUUUAUUUUGUCAUCUAUGCUGUGUUAUACCGCAGCAAGGAAAAGAUGUAACUAAUUAAAUAAUAAAGGUCAGAUUAGUCAAGUGACCUAUCCUUUUAUAUGAGCAAAGACCAUCGUUUAGGGUCUACUAGAUCUACUACUAGACUACUAGAUUUUAUAUCUUUUUCCGUAUUACGUUUUUAAAUCAUAUUCUUUACUCUUUUUCAAUAUGGAGAAGAAGAAGGAAUGUAAAAGAAAUUUAAGGAAAGAAGUGCGAAUUAUUUCGCUGGCAGUGUCAAAAGUCGGCUUUUAAAAAGUUAAAAACCGUAGGAUUUCUAUGCGCUGAAAUAUACAUAAUCUCCAGAUCGAAUAGAAGCCCUUUCAUUUUAAUACCACGUUUGUCCAACUCAUUAGCCGAGCGAUACUUUACUGUUUGCGUUGCUAGAUAUUGGAAUGCCUUACCACUGAGCCUGAAAUCCUUCGAUGAUUCUUUGAAUACGUUUAGAAGAAAAUUGGCGGCACUUCUAUACUCACUAUACAUAUUUUGUUCCUGGUAGGAAGUGAUGAUCUACCGAGUUCAUGAAGCAAGAUGAUUAUAUUGUCACCCAUUUAUCACCCAGCUGGCUCGUAUACUCACUGAUUUUCGAUAAUUUUCAGAGUGGACUUGUUGUUGUGUUUAGUUUCUUUUUGCACAUGAAAUGUAUCUAUGUAAUUAGGUAAUAGGCCUAUAGUUACUUAAUAAAUGAGAAAUAAAAUGAAAUAUAAAAUUCGAAGGAGGAGUAGAGCCGUAAAGAACGAGUGCAACUUCAAAAAGGCCAUAAAGUUUUGCGAGAAGUAUUAGAAAUUUAAACACAAUAGGAAAUUGAAAAGAGAGGAAUUCAAACUUGAAAGAUGCCCGCGUGUAUUUACUAAAUAGUUCUUUUUCUUACAUUGUGGAAGUUCUUCGACCAUGAUAAAAUGAUAACGUGUAAAAAAAGAGAAGUACGAAAAACCUUUGCGACGUUUUGUCAGUAGAAGUUUAUAAAGCGCUUAAAAAGGUUUCUAUAUAGUUUAAGAUAUUGGGAUAUUGAACAGGUUGGCGGUGUGUUCUAAGAGAGGGUUAAACUACAAUUACAGGCUGCUGAACUGAACUGUGGCUUCUUCGUUGCGCUAUUUUUAUAAGUACAACAACUUAUUCCACUGAAGUAUGUACGUAUUAAGGACUUUUGGAGAUUUGAAUAGAGCACGGUUCGCUUCCAAAUUUCGAGAGGCAAUGCGAUUUCCGAAAUGAAAAUAACCAUAAUUUAGACAAGACGAACGAAUAAUAUCAACGAUAAAACUGAAUAUCUAUGAGGGCUUUUUUUUGUGACGGAGGGCAUUAGCAGAAUAUGGUGUCCGGGAAAAGUUACCAAUACGAUCUGAUACAAUUGCGAUGUGAAACGGGCUCAAUAUGCUAAAAAUUAUGAUGUAUCGAUUUCUCCGAUUACAAAGUUCGGUCAGAAUAUCUUAACAGUGCGAGACAAACAUUAUUCUUUCUGAUGAAUAUUGGCUAUAAUCGAUGGUUUAUUGCCUGCAUGAGUAGGGCUUCUUGACAUACCACAAAAGUGAAUACCUGUGUAGACAGUCCCACGGAAUUCAUAUUCUGCCUAUAAGCUAAGAGAUGUAUUGGCAGUGCGGUGCUCUUUUGCUCGACCAGCAACUCAGUCGGUAACCGGAAAGGGUUAUAUAGAAAGAGUGGGGCGAUUUAAAAAUCAAGCCUUAAAAAAAAUCAUCACACUUUUCACAUGUGAUCCUAAUAAUCUAGCUUUAGCCCAACUGAACUGUUCAGAAAGUGAAAAUUCCAGAAUUAUUUAACAGUCAGUUUCAUGAAAAUACGACAGAAACUUAAAAAAAUUUUCUUUUAGAAAUUUUGAUCGUUUGACCAUAACCCAAAUAUCUAUCGAUUAGGAAACAUUCUUUGCCCCUUUCGCAGAUUAAUGUUGAUUGACAAAAGCAUUUUGAAAUUUUCAAAAUUUUUUGAAUCUGCAUCAGCUCGAGAGCUACGCAUAAAGGCAUGGUACAAAAUACGCCAUUCUAACAAGAAAAAUUAUCGGAAACGAUUGCUUAGUCUCGAAUGCUUUAAUUACCGUUAAGAAUUACUGUUAUUCUCUUAUAAUACUUCAAUUCCUUUUGCGAGAAUAUUAAUUCUCGUACUUUAUUAUAGUAAACAUAUUCCGUUUGCACAUGUAUGUGUAAAUCACUUUUCCUUUUUCUCUAUCUACACUUGAAAAUUCAAAGCCAUAAUUUGAUUAAGAAUACAUUUACACUUCUGCUGUUUAUUACAUUUACAAUUACAAUUUACAUGUACAACGAUCCUCUAUUCCAAUGUCACAUUAACCCACAAAUUGUCAAACAAUAGCAAAUGUGUUUAGUGUUUAUGUCAAGUGUUUCCCAAUGAGGCUUAGCGGAAUAAUCAUUAGUCAUACGGAAUUGAUAGUAAAACAAAGACUUUUAUAAGAGACCUAUACGAACGAAAAACAGAAAAAAAAAAAAAAACAAUAACAAAACAAAAUAAAGUUGCAAACCACUAUAGCCAUUCACUUACUAUGCACACGUAACACACUCUAGGCAGCAUGAGACAACAAAGUAUAUAAGCUCACAGCUAACAGCAAAAACAAUGCUGCAUAGCAUACAAUGUAACAUCAAUAGCGCGCAGCAGCCAUACCUUCUAUACAUUCAUCUUUAAUUUUGUAUCGUGUUGUCGUGACGGUUACAUUCGAGCAAAAAGCACAAUAAAGGUCUCUUAAGUUCAUUUCGAAUCUUAAUUUGGCUUUAAAGAGAUCAGAUGAGCCUUUCCAUGAAAAUGACGUCUAGCGGAAAGCUUUGCUGUUCUGUACACCUUCAGCUUAUGAAUAUUCCGUAUGUGAGCGUUUGACGCGUUUACCUUGCGCACGCACGUAGAUAAAGCCUAACGAAAUGCGGGAACGUCUUAUUACGCUGUGCAAUCCAUCCCUAAAGCAAUCUCCAUGGACCACGGUGCAAUAACACUGUCAUUUCGACUGAAAACAAGACUGCUUGUUCGAGAAUUGUACUCUUUUCGUAAUAGGCAUUUAAAAAUCAUGAAAAUAAUGUUUCAUUCCAGUCGGAAACAAAAAGGCUGUCCGAUCGCCUUUUUAUCUCUUGCACAAGUUCCUUCAUCUUCUUCGAUUUUCCCUGUGUUCGAAAAGUGGUUCUUAACGAAAAAAUAAUAGAAGCGAAAAGAACUCCUGAGCCUUUUGCACCCUACCAUAUAUAAACGUCUCAGUUAUAUUAGUAUCUAACAACAAUUCAAGUCAUAUGUGCCUUAAAAAAAAAAAAAAAAAAUCGCACUAACAUAUGGCCCACCUUGUAUUCUAAAACGACCCUCAAUGAAACCAAAUACUAAGAGUAGUUAACUAAUUCACUGCUACCUAGAAGGUUAAGAGUGAAUGAAAGAGAAAAGAAAAAGAAAAGAAUGCUCUUCCUCAUCAUCGUUAUUGUGGCCUAAAACAACAACGUUUUCAUCCCGAACAGAAUAAGACAUAGAGUCUUUCCUACGGCUUAUGAAGAAUGGCUUAGUAGCAACGUAUUAAUAAUGAAUGGUGGUGGUGUCUUAAAAUGAGUGUAGUUUUGUGCUAAGCAAGUAAGAAAGAGCAAAACCACUACAAAUUCCAUCGAUAGGUGUUCUCAAUGUUAAGAUCGUUUCCGCUUUGUGUUUUAUUUUUUUUAGCAUUUUGUUCCUGGUCGCUAAGAAAUUACCGAAAACGUAACACAGGAACAACAACAGUAUGAUCGCUUACUCAUAUUACAUACCCAUACUUAAUCGUAUGCAUUGUUUAUCUAUAUAUAUAUACAUGUGUGUUUUAUUUAAGGUAUUUAAUGAAUAAACUGAUCUUACGAAGGCUCUCAGUGUUUUCGUUCGAUUGACGAACGUUUAGAUUACCUUGAAAUUUAUAUAAAGCAUGAGAGAGGUUCAAUAGCUUUACCAUAGUGCAUACGAACACAAAUGCAUUUAUAAGGAAAACGUAAUUGUUUAAUCAACAAUUCGCCCAAAGACAUUAAGCAACAUGUUUAGAUUUUUAGGUGUUUUUUUUUUUUCUUUUUUGCUGUUU